UGCCAUGCAUUCGGUUUAAUUGGGGCGAUGAGCUUAUCUAAUCCACCUAAGGUGAACAAAGCCAUCCAAUGAGUCCAACUAAUAAGUGCAAAGAUACAUGUUUUGCUUAAUGGCCCGGGAAGUCCUUCCCAGUAUUUAAAUGCUGUCUUAGUGAGCUUAAAAUUAAUUUACCAGCACCAAGCUACUCUACGGAUAACAGGCUUAAUCUCGGCAAUAUGGAAGUUCACAUUAUCAAGAGAAAUGCACCUCGAUGUCGGCUUAUCGUCACCAAAAUCUGUAGCUGGUUUAUUGGUGGGAGUGCUCAUCCCGUAAAUCGGUACGUGAGCUGGGUUCAGAACGAUGUAAAUCAGUUUGGUCUAUAUCUUUAAUUAUAACACGAACAAUUAAAUGCAUUGUUUUCUCAGUACGCAAGGACCAGAAAGA
This 423-nucleotide ribosomal RNA is filed under the name Lotharella globosa. RNAcentral describes it as "partial Bacterial large subunit ribosomal RNA". It matches the Rfam family "Bacterial large subunit ribosomal RNA", at positions 2255 to 2700 of the family's 2925-position model. Lineage: Eukaryota; Cercozoa; Chlorarachniophyceae. The record is from RNAcentral.